GACGAACGCUGGCGGCAUGCCUAAUACAUGCAAGUCGAGCGAACAGAUGAAGUGCUUGCACUUCUGACGUUAGCGGCGAACGGGUGAGUAACACGUAAGGAAUCUACCUAUAAGCGGGGGAUAACAUUCGGAAACGGGUGCUAAUACCGCAUAAUAUCUUCUUCCGCAUGGAAGAAGAUUGAAAGACGGCUCUGCUGUCACUUAUAGAUGACCUUGCGGUGCAUUAGUUAGUUGGUGGGGUAACGGCCUACCAAGACGAUGAUGCAUAGCCGACCUGAGAGGGUGAUCGGCCACAUUGGGACUGAGACACGGCCCAAACUCCUACGGGAGGCAGCAGUAGGGAAUCUUCCGCAAUGGGCGAAAGCCUGACGGAGCAAUGCCGCGUGAGUGAAGCAGGCCUUCGGGUCGUAAAACUCUGUUAUAAGAGAAGAACAAAUUGUAGAGUAACUGCUACAGUCUUGACGGUAUCUUAUCAGAAAGCCACGGCUAACUACGUGCCAGCCGCCGCCGUAA
This 513-nucleotide ribosomal RNA is filed under the name uncultured bacterium. RNAcentral describes it as "partial 16S ribosomal RNA". It matches the Rfam family "Bacterial small subunit ribosomal RNA", at positions 28 to 523 of the family's 1533-position model. The record is from RNAcentral.